GAUUAACGCUAGUGGCAGGCAUAAUACAUGCAAGUUGAACGGCAGCACAGGUAGCAAUACUGGGUGGCGAGUGGCGCACGGGUGCGUAACACGUAUGCAACCUACCCUAUACAGGCGAAUAACCUUUAGAAAUGAGGGCUAAUACGCCGUAGUAUUACAGAUGGGCAUCUAUUUGUAAUUAAAGAUUUAUCGGUAUAGGAUGGGCAUGCGUCCCAUUAGUUAGUUGGUAAGGUAACGGCUUACCAAGACGAUGAUGGGUAGGGGAUCUGAGAGGACUUACCCCCACACUGGUACUGAGACACGGACCAGACUCCUACGGGAGGCAGCAGUAAGGAAUAUUGGGCAAUGGCCGCGAGGCUGACCCAGCCAUGCCGCGUGCAGGAAGACGGCCUUAUGGGUUGUAAACUGCUUUUAUACGGGAAUAAUAGAGUGUACGCGUACAUUUAUGCAAGUAUCGUAUGAAUAAGCAUCGGCUAACUCCGUG
This 484-nucleotide ribosomal RNA is filed under the name uncultured bacterium. RNAcentral describes it as "partial 16S ribosomal RNA". It matches the Rfam family "Bacterial small subunit ribosomal RNA", at positions 28 to 507 of the family's 1533-position model. The record is from RNAcentral.